CAAGUCGAACGAUUAAACUUCCCUUCGGGGAAGAUAUAAAGUGGCGCACGGGUGAGUAACACGUAAGUAAUCUGCCCUCGAGUGGGGAACAACGUCCGGAAACGGACGCUAAUACCGCAUAAUGCAGCGGCACCGCAAGGUGACAGUUGUUAAAGGAGAAAUCCGCUUGAGGAGGAGCUUGCGGCAGAUUAGCUAGUUGGUAAGGUAAUGGCUUACCAAGGCUACGAUCUGUAACCGGUCUAAGAGGACGGUCGGUCACACUGACACUGAAUAACGGGUCAGACUCCUACGGGAGGCAGCAGUCGGGAAUUUUGGGCAAUGGGCGAAAGCCUGACCCAGCAACGCCGCGUGAAGGAUGAAGUAUUUCGGUAUGUAAACUUCGAAAGAAUGGGAAGAAUCAAUGACGGUACCAUUUAUAAGGUCCGGCUAACUACGUGCCAGCAGCCGCGGUAAUACGUAGGGACCAAGCGUUGUUCGGAUUUACUGGGCGUAAAGGGCGCGUAGGCGGCAAUUCAAGUCAUCUGUGAAAUCUCCGGGCUUAACCCGGAACGGUCAGAUGAUACUGCUUUGCUAGAGUGCGGAAGGGGCAAUCGGAAUUCUCGGUGUAGCGGUGAAAUGCGUAGAUAUCGAGAGGAACACCUGAGGUGAAGACGGGUUGCUGGGCCGACACUGACGCUGAGUGCGCGAAAGCCAGGGGAGCAAACGGGAUUAGAUACCCCGGUAGUCCUGGCCCUAAACGAUGAAUACUUGGUGUCUGGAGUUAUUAGUGCUCCGGGUGCCGUCGCUAACGUUUUUAGUAUUCC
This 803-nucleotide ribosomal RNA is filed under the name uncultured Bacillota bacterium. RNAcentral describes it as "bacterial SSU rRNA". It matches the Rfam family "Bacterial small subunit ribosomal RNA", at positions 58 to 870 of the family's 1533-position model. Lineage: Bacteria; Bacillati; Bacillota. The record is from RNAcentral.